CUCAAUACCAGUUAUGUUACAUUGAUCCUGGAGUGGCAAGUGGGGAUGAGAUGGAGAAGCUCAAGACAAUGGAUAGUGCCUUUAUUGAAUUCUAGAAGAAAAAUUUGAAGCUCUGCGCUUCCUUUUCCUUCGUUUCAUAAUGUAUUUUAACCUCAUUCCUUUUCUUUUGAUGCUGAAAAUGAGUGCAUACCCAUUUGCUAAACCAUUAAAGAGAAAUGGUACUGUAGCCUGUAAUGUGCAUCUUUUUUUUUCUAGGUUAUACCAGCUUCAGAACUUGAGUUAGCUUUAAGAAAUACAAACAAUAAG
RNAcentral lists this unclassified non-coding RNA (306 nucleotides) under Hevea brasiliensis (rubber tree). Lineage: Eukaryota; Viridiplantae; Streptophyta; Magnoliopsida; Malpighiales; Euphorbiaceae. The record is from RNAcentral.